RNAcentral lists this ribosomal RNA (460 nucleotides) under uncultured bacterium. Its description in RNAcentral is "partial 16S ribosomal RNA". It matches the Rfam family "Bacterial small subunit ribosomal RNA", at positions 338 to 795 of the family's 1533-position model. The record is from RNAcentral.
CCUACGGGUGGCAGCAGUGAGGAAUAUUGGUCAAUGGGCGGAAGCCUGAACCAGCCAAGCAGCGUGCAGGAUGACGGCCCUACGGGUUGUAAACUGCUUUUAUACGGGAAUAACGCGCCUUACGUGUAGGGCUUUGCAUGUACCGUAUGAAUAAGGUCCGGCUAAUUCCGGUCCAGCAGCCGCGGUAAUACGGAGGGUCCGGGCGUUAUCCGGAUUUAUGGGGUUUAAGGGGCGCGUAGGCCGCAUGUCAAGCGUGCUGUGAAAUGUCCGGGCUCAACCCGGGCCUUGCAGCGCGAACUGGCGUGCUUGAGUCCGCGGAAGGCAGGCGGAAUUCGUCGUGUAGCGGUGAAAUGCUUAGAUAUGACGAAGAACCCCGAUUGCGAAGGCAGCUUGCUGCAGCGGAACUGACGCUGAUGCUCGAAAGCGCGGGUAUCGAACAGGAUUAGAUACCCCUGUAGUC